UGUGUGUGUGUGUGUGUGUGUGUGUGUGUGUGUGUAUAUAUAUACAUAUAUUUACACACACACACACACAAACACU
Molecule: non-coding RNA, 76 nt
Organism: Pelobates cultripes (western spadefoot toad)
Lineage: Eukaryota; Metazoa; Chordata; Amphibia; Anura; Pelobatidae
Source: the annotation of a GenBank genome assembly